GCAGUCGACGGGAUUGGAAAUAGCAAUAUUACCAUGAGAGUGGCGCACGGGUGCGUAACACGUAUGCAAUCUGCCCCUAACUGGAAGAUAGCCCGGCGAAAGUCGGAUUAAUAUUCCAUAACAUUGCGAAACGGCAUCGUUUUGUAAUUAAAGCUCCGGCGGUUAGGGAUGAGCAUGCGCGACAUUAGCUAGAUGGCGAGGUAACGGCUCACCAUGGCUACGAUGUCUAGGGGGUCUGAGAGGAUUAUCCCCCACACUGGUACUGAGACACGGACCAGACUCCUACGGGAGGCAGCAGUAGGGAAUAUUGGGCAAUGGACGCAAGUCUGACCCAGCCAUGCCGCGUGCAGGAUGACGGCCCUAUGGGUUGUAAACUGCUUUUGUACAGGAAGAAACCCCUUUACGUGUAGAGGGCUGACAUUACUGUAAGAAUAAGGAUCGGCUAACUCCGUGCCAGCAGCCGCGGUAAUACGGAGGAUCCAAGCGUUGUCCGGAUUUAUUGGGUUUAAAGGGUGCGUAGGCGGACCAUUAAGUCAGAGGUGAAAGUUUGCAGCUUAACUGUAAAAUUGCCUUUGAAACUGGUGGUCUUGANUACAGUUGAGGUGGGCGGAAUGUGUCAUGUAGCGGUGAAAUGCUUANAUAUGAUACAGAACACCGAUUGCGAAGGCAGCUCACUAAACUGUAACUGACGCUGAGGCACGAAAGCGUGGGGAGCGAACAGGAUUAGAUACCCUGGUA
This 738-nucleotide ribosomal RNA is filed under the name uncultured bacterium. Its description in RNAcentral is "bacterial SSU rRNA". It matches the Rfam family "Bacterial small subunit ribosomal RNA", at positions 57 to 792 of the family's 1533-position model. The record is from RNAcentral.